CACAUAGUGAUGAAACUGAAUGGCAUGUUUAGAACGAUGUUGCUGGAGGGUGAGAGGAGGAUGAUGGAGGCCUCUUGGACUUUGGUUCCUUGAACAGGAUCCUAAGCUUGGAAACUCUCCAAGUGACAGAAAAUUGGCAGAUUCUUCGUCGUUGAUUCCUUACUGGCUCUUUGGAGAGGAAAGGAGUUCUGCUCAGGACUUGGCGGAGCCCUUUGCUUGGCACCUCAGCCAGUAACUCAAAGUUCAAGGAACUUGACAGACAGAGGCUGUUUUUCUGGUAAUUUAUUUUGCCUGGCAGAUGCCUGAAGAUUUUCUUCAAGUUCAAUACUGUACAUAGGGUAAACUUUGAUAUUAAUUGAAUUGGAAUGUUCCUGGAACAUGGUUCACUUUUUAUCUGCA
Long non-coding RNA from Rhinopithecus roxellana (golden snub-nosed monkey), 399 nucleotides. RefSeq lists it as uncharacterized. The transcript is spliced from 3 exons. Lineage: Eukaryota; Metazoa; Chordata; Mammalia; Primates; Cercopithecidae. The record is from RefSeq and is a predicted model, not a curated record.